GAUGAACGCUGGCGGCGUGCCUAAUACAUGCAAGUCGAGCGAACAGAUGAGGAGCUUGCUCCUCUGACGUUAGCGGCGGACGGGUGAGUAACACGUGGAUAACCUACCUAUAAGACUGGGAUAACUUCGGGAAACCGGAGCUAAUACCGGAUAAUAUAUUGAACCGCAUGGUUCAAUAGUGAAAGACGGUUUUGCUGUCACUUAUAGAUGGAUCCGCGCCGCAUUAGCUAGUUGGUAAGGUAACGGCUUACCAAGGCGACGAUGCGUAGCCGCCCUGAGAGGGUGAUCGGCCACCCUGGAACUGAGACACGGCCCAGACUCCGACGGGAGGCCGCAGUAGGGAAUCUUCCGCAAUGGGCGAAAGCCUGACGGAGCACCGCCGCGUGAGUGAUGAAGGUCUCCGGAUCGUAAAACUCUGUUAUUAGGGAAGAACAAAUGUGUAAGUAACUAUGCACGUCUUGACGGUACCUAAUCAGAAAGCCACGGCUAACUCCGUG
This 497-nucleotide ribosomal RNA is filed under the name uncultured bacterium. RNAcentral describes it as "partial 16S ribosomal RNA". It matches the Rfam family "Bacterial small subunit ribosomal RNA", at positions 28 to 507 of the family's 1533-position model. The record is from RNAcentral.